UGGGGAAUUUUGGACAAUGGGCGCAAGCCUGAUCCAGCCAUGCCGCGUGCGGGAAGAAGGCCUUCGGGUUGUAAACCGCUUUUGUCAGGGAAGAAAUCCUUUGAGUUAAUACCUUGUGCGGAUGACGGUACCAUCAGAAGAAGCACCGGCUAACUACGUGCCAGCAGCCGCGGUAAUACGUAGGGUGCGAGCGUUAAUCGGAAUUACUGGGCGUAAAGCGUGCGCAGGCGGUUUUGUAAGACAGUGGUGAAAUCCCCGGGCUCAACCUGGGAACUGCCAUUGUGACUGCAAAGCUAGAGUGCGGCAGAGGGGGAUGGAAUUCCGCGUGUAGCAGUGAAAUGCGUAGAUAUGCGGAGGAACACCGAUGGCGAAGGCAAUCCCCUGGGGCUGCACUGACGCUCAUGCACGAAAGCGUGGAGAGCAAACA
This 427-nucleotide ribosomal RNA is filed under the name uncultured bacterium. RNAcentral describes it as "bacterial SSU rRNA". It matches the Rfam family "Bacterial small subunit ribosomal RNA", at positions 355 to 774 of the family's 1533-position model. The record is from RNAcentral.